Molecule: ribosomal RNA, 468 nt
Filed under: uncultured bacterium
Lineage: Bacteria
Description: partial 16S ribosomal RNA
Rfam family: Bacterial small subunit ribosomal RNA
Source: RNAcentral
GACGAACGCUGGCGGCGUGCUUAACACAUGCAAGUCGAACGGAAAGGCCCUGCUUUUGUGGGGUGCUCGAGUGGCGAACGGGUGAGUAACACGUGAGUAACCUGCCCUUGACUUUGGGAUAACUUCAGGAAACUGGGGCUAAUACCGGAUAGGAGCUCCUGCUGCAUGGUGGGGGUUGGAAAGUUUCGGCGGUUGGGGAUGGACGCGCGGGUUAUGAGCUUGUUGGUGGGGGAGUGGCUUACCAAGGCAUUGGCGGGUAGGCGGCCCGAGAGGGUGACCGGCGACAAUGGGACUGAGAGACGGCCCAGACGCCUACGGGAGGCAGCAGUGGGGAAUAUUGCCCAAUGGGCGGAAGCCUGAGGCAGCAACGCCGCGUGCGUGAUGACGGCCUUCUGGGUGUAAACCGCUUUCGCCUGUGACGAAGCGGUAGUGACGGUAAUGGGUAAAGAAGCACCGGCUAACUACGUG